UCGUUACUGCCGUCGACAGGCGCAGAAUACAAACCGCGACGUGUAGGGACGUGAGUUUGCGUGAAGAGCGCACUACAAGUCGUCGUUUGUGUACAGUGUAGUCUUUGGUAGACGGCAGCUAUGCAUGAGAUGUCUUCGUUGAUUACAGCUGUAAUUGGGAAGGUAUGCAUUAUGAAACUGAACCUAGGACCAACCGCAAUAUAUUGAGAAGAGGCGGUACCAUCGUGGAGUAUCGGCGCUACACGGGUCUGGGAGGCCGAGGCUACUGGUGUAUAGUACUAGUGUACGAACGUCAUAAUUAUCUUUCAACUAACCAUGACCCAGCCAACGCUUGCCUGUGGGUCACCGGCGGCCGAGCUGCUGUCAAAGGGUGCAGAGUUUCUAAGCCAAGCAGCAAGCGACGCUUUGAAUCUGCCUAGAGGUGUAUCACUGCUCGACUACGGUCCAAUUGAAGGUUUCUCCAGUUUUCGGGAGACGCUGGCCUUCUACCUGAGCCGAGGGUACCAAAGAUCAUGUUUGUAGUGUUAGGGAUUAUUGCAAACAUGAUGUGACUGCUGUAUGUGCUACAGUCUACUAUUAAGAACUAGUGCUUAGUUCUUCAUCACAGUGUUUCUGAAAACUUCUAUGAAAGCAUGAAUGGUGGUGGUUACUGGUACACUUCAUUUGCUUGCUAUUUUGGCUGCUUUUGUAUGUAUCUGGGGCCAGGUAACUCAAGUUGCUUGACUAAAAUUGAAAGAUGUGUAUGCCUUUGCUCUUCCAAUAUGAAUGUGUUUGAACUGAAAAGUGGACGUGUAUUCUAGUUUGGCCGUGCAACUGGAUAUAUUGAUGGCCAUUGACAA
This is a long non-coding RNA of Corticium candelabrum, 839 nucleotides long. RefSeq lists it as uncharacterized. The record is from RefSeq and is a predicted model, not a curated record. Lineage: Eukaryota; Metazoa; Porifera; Homoscleromorpha; Homosclerophorida; Plakinidae. The transcript is spliced from 3 exons.